UUCGACGCCGCGGCAGUAAGCGCCGCGACGUCCGUCGGGGACGCGUCAUACGGCGUCCGCACGUGAGAACUCGUGUCACGUGGCAGUCGAAAUCUCGAAACUCGUGGACAUGAAAACCGGAAACUGUAAGAGUUGAAGAGCCGAUUCUUACGCAAUUUUCUGAUCGGAAAUGGGCAAGAAAGUUUUGCCUUAGAGAUUUUUCUUCCCGAAAAUAUACAUUUCUUUUCUAGCUCAUCUAUCUCUCGAUUGACUAUUAAAUAAUUGAAAUGAUAUAUGCGCGAUAUUCAAGUGAUUUUUUUAUUUGCGUGUACGAAAAAAUGACGAAUAAAUGAAUUGUUUGAUAAAUUAUCUGCUGCAUGAUUGACGUUGACUGUAUUCAUGACAAAUGUGAUUGUCAGUGACACUUGAUUGUUAUAUAAGUGUCAGAGGUACGCUAUGUGUUACAAAUACCGCAAUGAUCGAUCUGCAUAAUUUUAGAUGAUUAUUCGAACUGUUACCUAACAAAGAACUCAAGCUAGAAUCGUUCAUCCUUAACAAUUUUAGACACCACGCUAAAUACAUUUUUAUAAAAAUCUCCUACUCGCAUAUUUAAAAUCUAUGUAAUAAAAAAUGACGAGUGCAAUUGCACGAAAAAUCGCCUGAUCAGCAGAAUAUGCCGUAAAAGGCUCGAAGCGUUCUAAAAAUCUUCAUAAUGAUCAACAAGUCCGACCAGGAAGAGACUCACAUCGGCGAUCAUCAUCCUGGAAGAAAUGCGACGAUGCUGAUCCGUGAGAAGAGACUCGGAGGUACGUCAGGGUGCAUCGAGAGAACUGUUGAAACUUCGAAGAGCGUCUCCCAGGGAUCGACGAGAAACAGAGCGGAUCACGAUCUCGGUUUCUUCCAUCGGGACUCUCGCGACCUUCGUCCUCUUCGGAUUUAUUGAGAUUAAGAAUGAGACACGAAGCGGCGACAUUAUUAUGGGACACUUCGAGAACUGUUUAGAGAACGGCUUCUCCAGGCGGACGUCCAAGAGGUCCUGCGAGAAGGCGUCGCGCCGUCUGAGGUCCCUGAUCGCCAAGGCCAGGCGGUGGGGUCUAACGACCGGCGAGGUCGCCGAACUUCCGGCGAUAAAGAGGCUGGUGCCUAAUCGAGUCACCCCGAGCUCGGCCGCGCGGACGAUCUUGGCUAUGAUCCUUCUGCUCCUCGGCGGCGGCAUCGUCCUCGCGUACAUCUGCGCACCCUGCAUCACCAGGAACAGCACGUGAGGUCGUCCCGCGAAUUAGCUGCCGCAAUAGAGAUUAUCGAUGUGUGGCGAGCAAAAUACAUAUAAAGGCAGUGCCGAAUGUAUGGAGCAUACAUAUGUACACAGAAAUAUUUAUAAGAUUUUCCUAGUUUUAGCGUGUACAAUAUAAGCAAUUUGCGCGUAUAUCGCGAAAAUUUAUCGCAAAGUUAUUUAUCACGAAUUGCAUGCGAGAGAGUCGAACAAGGAGAAACAAGAACGUAAUUGAAACGUAUUUUUUUUAUACGACACACAUAGAUAAGAACAAUAAUAACAUAAUUGUCUGAAAUUCAUAAAUCGAUUGAAAAAAUACUGUUACUCUCUUAAUGAAUUACACUUUUACUGAUAUCAUCAGCGAAAUAUGUUUAAGCAAAUUUAUAUUAAAUAAAGUGUGAAAUUGUUUCAGCAAUUUUAAUUUUUGAAGUAAGGUCUUACAUUGACAUUUAAAUUUGCGAUUCGUAAAAUGUCAGAAUAUGCAGGGACAUGAUUUUUGUGUAUACGUCACAGGAAAUGAUUGUUCAAAAAAAUGUAUCAUUCCGACGACUAAAAUAUUGCUCAAGAGUGUAAGGAUUCUGGAAUAUUACAUCGAAGAAAGCAUGUAAAUCUCACUUUUUUAUACAAGCAAAUAUAAAAAUUAUAGCGAUAAUUCGUAAUAUACUGUAUUAAUCAUUAGAUAAAACACUUUGAAAUUGUUAUAUUUUUCCGUUGUAAUUUCUAUUGUAAUUAUAUAUAAUCAGUUAUAAUGAAGAAAGUCAGAAUUUUACCAUAAUCUAAUGCUCGAUAUAGAUAUCAUUCUCGUAUACUUUAUAUUUAAACACGCAUAUAUAAUUAUAAUUAAUAAUUUCGGUAACAUGAAUAUUGCUUGUUUAUAGUCUCACAUUUUCUCUUUCUACACAUGUGUCAGUCAACAACUCUCAUGUCAUUCUUAUAAGCUUAGAAAGCUUAGGACGUACAUCUUUACUGAAGAGAAAUAAAAAUGUAUUGUAUAUAAAGAGCAUAAUU
This is a long non-coding RNA of Nylanderia fulva, 2260 nucleotides long. RefSeq lists it as uncharacterized. Lineage: Eukaryota; Metazoa; Arthropoda; Insecta; Hymenoptera; Formicidae. The record is from RefSeq and is a predicted model, not a curated record.